GGGGGGGGCCGUUACCAUGCCAAGUCGAGACGGAUGUAACCGAGCAUUGCUCCUGGAUUCAGCGGCGGACGGGUGAGUAAUGCCUAGGAAUCUGCCUGGUAGUGGGGGACAACGUUUCGAAAGGAACGCUAAUACCGCAUACGUCCUACGGGAGAAAGCAGGGGACCUUCGGGCCUUGCGCUAUCAGAUGAGCCUAGGUCGGAUUAGCUUGUUGGUGAGGUAAUGGCUCACCAAGGCGACGAUCCGUAACUGGUCUGAGAGGAUGAUCAGUCACACUGGAACUGAGACACGGUCCAGACUCCUACGGGAGGCAGCAGUGGGGAAUAUUGGACAAUGGGCGAAAGCCUGAUCCAGCCAUGCCGCGUGUGUGAAGAAGGUCUUCGGAUUGUAAAGCACUUUAAGUUGGGAGGAAGGGUUGUAGAUUAAUACUCUGCAAUUUUGACGUUACCGACAGAAUAAGCACCGGCUAACUCUGUGCCAGCAGCCGCGGUAAUACAGAGGGUGCAAGCGUUAAUCGGAAUUACUGGGCGUAAAGCGCGCGUAGGUGGUUUGUUAAGUUGGAUGUGAAAGCCCCGGGCUCAACCUGGGAACUGCAUCCAAAACUGGCAAGCUAGAGUACGGUAGAGGGUGGUGGAAUUUCCUGUGUAGCGGUGAAAUGCGUAGAUAUAGGAAAGAACACCAGUGGCGAAAGCGACCACCUGGACUGAUACUGACACUGAUGUGCAAAAACGUGGGGAGCAAACAGGAUUAGAUACCCUGGUAGUCCACGCCGUAACCAUG
RNAcentral lists this ribosomal RNA (780 nucleotides) under Pseudomonas fulva. RNAcentral describes it as "bacterial SSU rRNA". It matches the Rfam family "Bacterial small subunit ribosomal RNA", at positions 39 to 811 of the family's 1533-position model. Lineage: Bacteria; Pseudomonadati; Pseudomonadota; Gammaproteobacteria; Pseudomonadales; Pseudomonadaceae. The record is from RNAcentral.